CGUUUGAUCCCGGCGGAGGCCAUUUGCUAUCGGAGUCCGAUUUAGCCAUGCUAGUCGCACGGGUUUAGACCCGUGGCAGAUAGCUCAGUAACACGUGGCCAAACUGCCCUAUGGACCAGAACAACCUCGGGAAACUGAGGCUAAUUCUGGAUACAGCUCUCAGCCUGGAGUGGCGAGAGCUGGAAACGCUCCGGCGCCAUAGGAUGUGGCUGCGGCCGAUUAGGUAGACGGUGGGGUAACGGCCCACCGUGCCGAUAAUCGGUACGGGUUGUGAGAGCAAGAGCCCGGAGACGGUAUCUGAGACAAGAUACCGGGCCCUACGGGGCGCAGCAGGCGCGAAACCUUUACACUGCACGACAGUGCGAUAAGGGGACUCCGAGUGCGAGGGCAUAUAGUCCUCGCUUUUCUGUACCGUAGGGAGGUACAGGAACAAGUGCUGGGCAAGACCGGUGCCAGCCGCCGCGGUAAUACCGGCAGCACGAGUGAUGGCCGAUAUUAUUGGGCCUAAAGCGUCCGUAGCUGGCCAGCCAAGUCCGUUGGGAAAUCGACGUGCCUAACACGUCGGCGUCCAGCGGAAACUGUCUGGCUUGGAGCCAGAGGACCCGAGGGGUACGUCCGGGGUAGGAGUGAAAUCCCGUAAUCCUGGACGGACCACCGGUGGCGAAAGCGCCUCGGGAAGAUGGACUCGACAGUGAGGGACGAAAGCUGGGGUCUCGAACCGGAUUAGAUACCCGGGUAGUCCCAGCCGUAAACGAUGCUCGCUAGGUGUGGCGCAGGCUACGAGCCUGCGCUGUGCCGUAGGGAAGCCGUGAAGCGAGCCGCCUGGGAAGUACGUCCGCAAGGAUGAAACUUAAAGGAAUUGGCGGGGGAGCACUACAACCGGAGGAGCCUGCGGUUUAAUUGGACUCAACGCCGGACAUCUCACCAGCACCGACAGUGUGCAGUGAAGGUCAGUUUGAUGCGCUUACUGGAGCCACUGAGAGGAGGUGCAUGGCCGCCGUCAGCUCGUACCGUGAGGCGUCCUGUUAAGUCAGGCAACGAGCGAGACCCA
This 1051-nucleotide ribosomal RNA is filed under the name uncultured archaeon. RNAcentral's name for it is "bacterial SSU rRNA". It matches the Rfam family "Archaeal small subunit ribosomal RNA", at positions 5 to 1054 of the family's 1478-position model. The record is from RNAcentral.